This 31588-nucleotide long non-coding RNA is filed under the name Prunus persica (peach). RNAcentral's name for it is "long non-coding RNA (PPER_LNC000278)". The record is from RNAcentral. Lineage: Eukaryota; Viridiplantae; Streptophyta; Magnoliopsida; Rosales; Rosaceae.
CAAAAUUGUGAUGUAAUUACGAGGAUUAUCACGCAUAAAUUGUCCAAUGUAAGGCUCGGGGUGAACAACUGGGAUUUUGAUAGAUGAAAGGUAGGGCUCUGGGCCAACACCACUAAGUAGCAGGAGUUGAGUGCUUCCAAUUGCUCCUGCACUCAAUAUAACCUCUCCCUUGCCAUGUAUGAAGGCCUUAUGUGACCUCCCUUUAGAAUCACUAUACACGAUUCCUCUAGCAGACAAACCUGCAUGGUUAGAACAGAUCGUAGUUAUUAUCGAAUUAUUGAAAACCGAAGAUAUCAAUUAACUGUUAAUCUAAUGGUAUUUCUCCUGUCAAUGUUCGAAUACCCUGCUCCAUUAACAAAGAAAUUAAAGUAAAAGAUGCAAAUAUAUGAAACGUACUUAGUGCGUUGGAAGAGAAUAUGAUUCUCUCUACUGUGGCAUGAACUGCAACUCGCAAGUUCUUUGGGUUUCCUAGAUUAAGCAAUUCCACAGCUCCAUGUCUCCUUCCCUGAUUGUCAAAAAGAGUACCCGUGACCUUACUUCCUGGAAUGUGAUUUAAAUUAUAUCCGUUGUCUGGACAAACACCAGCCUCUAACAAACCUUCCUUUACAACAGAUUGCCAAGGCGACACAUUCUGGGGGGAUAUGACAGUAUUUUCAACCCAUUGAUAGGCCUUGUUAACCAAAUCCAUGUCCCAUUCAAUUCCUGAGUUUCCAUAAAAUUCUUUUUCGGCUCUAGAGUAUAUACCAGUGUUGAUCAUGCUUGACCCACCAAGAACCCUGCCUCUUACAUUGGCCACACCAUCUUCGGAUGUGAACCUUUCAGCUGGCGUCUUUCCAUCGUCUUCUAGCGCGAGAGUUGUAAUAAUCCCAUCUUGGCGCAAAACACUUGGAUAUGCACUUGGAACACUGCCCUUUUCUAGCAGGAGAACCGAGUACUUUGCAGAUAAAGUUGCUGCUAAUGGGCAGCCUGCUGUACCCCCUCCAACUACAAUGUAGUCGUACACUUCUUCUAAUGGCAGAUCAGUGGAAUUAUAGACAAAUUUCAUGUAGCUUAAAUCUGCAAAAUAUGAAGAGAUGGAAGUAAUUAAAUUGUAUCAGGAGAACUGUUUGUUAUAUAAUACCAAUAUAUGCUAUCUCCUUUUCUCUUUUUCCUUUCUAUUUUUUUUGGGAAGAAUUAGAGUGAUACCCUUAAGCAUAGUUAGUACGAGCCUCUCGGUACACGCUUCCGUGACUGUGAGAAUCUUUUUUAAAAAAAUUUUAAAUUUAUUUUAGAAUUUAAAAAGAUAAUGGAUAGUUGUAUUCCAUAAAAAUAGAAUCUAUUAUCUAAUUUUUCUUUUAAUUUUAUUAUUUUUUUAAAUAUGAAAAAGUGUGAAUUUACCAUAUUAUCCUCAUUUAAUUAAUAAUUUGAAUUCUUAAUGUUUGCAUUAACCAAGGGCAUUUUCUGGUAUUUUGAAUGGUAUUUUGAUUUAUAUAUAUAUAUAUAGAUGUAACCGGACGGGAAAUUUUUUUAAAAAAUACGGUGAAAGAUUCAUCUAUUAUGUAAUUUUAUAAUAUUAUUUAUGUCAGUUUAUUAAUAAUAUGUGAGAAUAUGUGUAGAAUACAUGAAUUUUUUAUGUAUUAUUAAAAAAUUUAUAAAAAAUACAUGUAAUAAAAAUGUGUAUUUGAUAUGUGUACAUAAAAUGAAAAUAUUUAUAAAUAAAUAAUAAAUAAAAACUUAAGUACGUGUAUCUAUGAUACGAGUAUUCAUCAAAGUUUGGUGUUGUUAAAAAAUAUAUUUUUAUGUUUUUCAUUGGAACAAUAUUUCGAAUACAUAUUUAUGUAAAACAUUAUAGGUAAAAUAUAUUCGUAGGUACAUUUAUAUAAAUGUUAUCACACGAUUCACGCCCAUGAAUAUAUAUAUAUAUACAAAGAGCUUCCAUCGAAGGAUUCCUCAAAUACUUAUUUGAGGGACACCCUUUGUGGAGCCCACUCCGAAUUGUAUUCCACUAAUCCAAACUGUUUAUUUUGUAGAUACACAUUCAAAGAUCAUCUCUACAAAAAAUUACUUGAAUUCUAUAUCAUUUGACUAUUCAAUUGAGUUAUUGAAAUUUUAGUACUUUCUUGAAGCACCGUGUUCAUUGAUUUUGUAAGACACAAUUGGAUGUCGAAACGGUUAUAUAUAUAUAUAUAUGAAUGUACCUAUAAAUUUGUAUUUGUAUAUUCAAAAUAAUGUGCCAAAUAAUAAACGGACUAAAACAAAUUUGUGUCUGACUUCCCUUUUGUUAAAUUUGUUUUCCAUGUCAUGAUUCUUUCCAAAACUGAUUUCAAGAUACAUGAUGAAUUAUUGAGAAAAUAGUGAUUUACCGUGAUCAGAUGGAGUGGCGAAUGAUUGAACCUCAGAUUGAGGAUAGAAGACAGACAGGUACAAAAGAAACAAUACAACACCAAUUCUUGACUUUUCCAUGUCUUUUUAGCCAGGCUCACGUUUUUUCUCCUGAAAAAUUCAAAAGCAGUUUCAACAGCUUUUCAAGUAACACUAUAGACAAAGACAAAAAAGGAAAAAAAUAUUCUUUUUGACAAAGACAGAUUUCAAGACAGCAUACAUCCACUUUUGACCCAAAAGUCCUCUUUUUCUUCCUUUUUUCUUCCCUUGCAUGGAGUUUCUAGAUUGUAAAACUAUAGACCCAGAGGGCACUUCAAAAUUAGCGACAAUAAUUUUAAAUUGUUUUUAGAGUUAGGUUCACUAACACUUUUCUAAUUGGCAGUUAACCUUUUUUUGAAUCAAAACAAAUAGCUUUCAUUCAACUAUGAAGCAAACAAAAUACAAUCAGAAAUACUGGAGUCUUAAGUGCUACUGCUAUAUUGUGACUUCGUUAAAAUCUUGUUAUUAAAAUUCUCAGUGGAGGAAAUUAGAUUAAUAAAAAAGAGAAUUUACCUUUAAAUAAAAUUGUUAUGUUCUAAAAAAACAGAGAAUUUUUUAUUUUUAUGAUUUCUCUAUUUAGUUAUUUCAAAUGCAUUUUAUCUGGAGGGUUUCUAAAUGAUAGUGAGAAUUUAGCCGCAUAUACUCAAUACCAGAGGUUAUCCCACUUCCCCUUGGGCUCCUUCCCUUGUACGUAUAUCGAAAAACAAAAAACAUCAGUCUAACAUUUUUUUUUUAAAUUGAACUUUAUUAUAUCAACAAUCAAAUUGAAUUAGCCAAAGUGAAUUCUUCAUGAACCAGGAGCCCGAUAACACAGGUUAGCUACAUGAAAAUACCAGCCUAUCAAAUAAUAAUCAAAUACCGUCGUACUUCAAAUUCGGUGUCUCAAACAUACGGAAACAAAAAAAUGUUAUGACAAAAGAAAAACAAAGAAAACCUUAUGUGCAUGCUCACAUUCCUACCCAAGAAUUUGUGUUGUAUGUUUAGAAGAACUUACAAAUGUUCAAUCAUAAAAAAUAAAAUAAAAAUAAAUAAAUAAAUUAUGAGUAAUUCAUACUUGCAAUGAAAAAUAGCACCAUGUCUAUCGAUGAUCGAAAGAACUCCAUGCACAAUGUGAGUUAGGAUUUACCUUAGAUCAAAUUACCACUUCUGGUUAUCUAAUGCCACGAACUCCCCAAGCAAAAUGACAUAGAUCUUCGAGGCCUUGUUACAUAUAUAUAUAUAUAUAUAUAUAUAUAUAUAGGACAAGAAGAUCAAAAUCAGAGAGAUGGAGUUUGAUUUUAAUUUUAAAUAAGGACCCCGAGUCUUCAUUUACCCAAGAACACACAAUUAGGCACAUUUCUGAAGAUAGGUUUGACAUUUUUACAUAGCUCUAUUGAAGAUGAUAGGUCGAUGUACCUAACAAAAGAAAUCAAAUACAGGGAAGCGAAAAUAUGGCGGGGCAUUGACCAAAACUAGCAAUGAAAAGUCAAAUGAAUUAAACACGUUGAAAUGAAACUAAGCAGUUGCUUGUGUCGUCUGGCAACUUUGCUUCUUUAUUUCAAAUUUGGCAGACCGGCUGCUGAAACGUAAUGGGCUUCAAGGGACAAGAAAAACUCCAAAGAAUUUUCAGAUAUUUUUUUAUUAUAUUUUAUUGGUUUAACUUCUAUGAUAGACCUACCAAUAACACUUUUCAAUAUGAAAGCGAUGAAAAUUAAUUAAAAAGUAAAAAGGUGUAGAAUGAAGAGCCAGAUGAACGUUGAAGAUGCAGCGUUGCGGGUUAUGGCUAUGUGGGAGGAAGUCACGCUUCACGGCACGUUGUAGGUAGCAACACUUUCUUUCAAACUGCAUUUGCUACAACAUCCGGUGUGCAAAUAGGAUAAACAAAUAAGCUUAGGGGAUACAAUGAAGCGCAAUAAUACACUGAUUUUACUCUGCAUUGAACAACCAAGGAGUCACCAAACACGCUAAGAGAUUAACAAGGACGUUCAAGAUUAACUACGAACUGUUGGCGUGACUUGUGGAUAUUGACUUACUUUCCUUACACACCAAGAAUUCCUAUUAUAAUUGUAAUUGAUUUACUUUAAUUUCUGAUUUCCUACUGCAAAUAGAUUUAGGAAUUUAUUAUUUACUUGCCUAUUUAGGUUUCGUUGUAUUAUAAAUAUGACCUCCUACAAGGAGAAGAAUACACAGAAAAUUCCCACAAACAAAUAUUCUCUCAUAGUUUUAAUAUUUUAGCGUGGUAUCAGAGCCUAGUUCGAUCUAGGGACCUGUGCUUGUGUUCUUCUUGAAAUUUAAGUGCUCUUCUCCCCCCUUGAGAGGGGGGGGAGGGGGAGUGAAAGGGAUAUGUUUAUUGACCUAUCCCAAUUACCUUGACAUAUUUCCAUGAAGAUGUUGCUUAUUUCUUGACUCCGACGACCCCUUCUCUUCAAGGGGAGAGGAAGAUUGAAGAGAAGUUGUGUCUGAGUGAAUUAACUAAAGUUUAUAUGGAAGAAUUUAUUGUUGCCACUGCCGUGCUCAUGGGGUUUCUGUGUUCUGCCUUACCUAUUGCCGUGCUCACAGGGUUUCUGUGUUCUGCCUUAUCAAUUGCUAUGGUCACACAGUUUCUGUGUUCUGCCUUACCUACUGCCGUGCUCACAGGGUUUCUGUGUUCUGCCUUAUCUACAGCCGUGCUCACAGGAUUUCUGUGUUUUGCUAUGUGCCCUAUUUUUUAGGGUUUGCUCUUGUGUUUUCGCUGUGAACUUUGUUUUAGUUUGUCACUUGUUUCACUCGUGGUUGACUAAAAGAUCUUCUCUACAAUUGGUGUUUCUCAAGUAUGGUGUCAUGUGACUCGCUUGUCAAGUUGGGCCUGCGAAAUAUCUUUGCCCAACUUGAGGGGGAGUGUUGGCGAGUCCUUAUUUCAUGAGAAUUUUGGUUACUUACCAAUUAUAUUUUGUCCUAUUAUAAUAGAGAUUAUUUUAUUUAGUGUUAUGGGGGUUGAUGAUUUUUUCAACCCUCAUAGAGGUAGCACCACCGACUCAUUCUCUCAUUCUCCACCAACCAUCGUUGAGUUGAGUGCCCAGAUGGCUCCGCUCCUACAGAUGCAGACUUUGACCCCGAACCCGAUCCAGAAUCAGGAUCCUCUUUUAACGACCCCGACCCCGACCCCGACCCCGACUAUGAUGACGACCACCCAGACCCCGACCCCGACUAUGACGACGACGACCUCGACCCCGACCCCGACUCCGAAGACGACCCCGACCCCGACCCCGACUCCGAAGACGACCCCAACCCCGAAUUUGUCUCUGAUUCAGACCCUGAUCCCGAUUUCGACUCCGACUCCGGCCUCGACUCAGGCUCAGAUUCCGAUCCUAAUUCCUACUCAACCUGUAUCCUAUGCAUCUUCCGCUGCACAGAUUAUGACUUCUCGACUAACGACCCCGACAUAUGGACUAGAUUGCACAUUUUGUGAAAUCCGAGGAUCAAUUGGCGGAUAUUUUGACAAAGGCGAUUUCUAGUAAAGCAUUCCACAAUUCACUAGAUCAGUUGGGCAUUGGCGACAUCUAUGCACCAACUGAGGGGGAGUGUUGGCGUGACUUGUGGAUAUUGACUUACUUUCCUUACACACCAAGAAUUCCUAUUAUAAUUGUAAUUGAUUUACUUUAAUUUCUGAUUUCCUACUGCAAAUAGAUUUAGGAAUUUAUUAUUUACUUGCCUAUUUAGGUUUCGUUGUAUUAUAAAUAUGACCUCCUACAAGGAGAAGAAUACACAGAAAAUUCCCACAAACAAAUAUUCUCUCAUAGUUUUAAUAUUUUAGCACGAACUAAUACUGCAGAAAUUACUCUCUAGUGCUUUUGUUCUAAGAUGCAAUCGUGAUAAGAGGGAAAUGUUCAUAGCAACUAUCUUUUGAUUUGGUUACAGGUUUUUUUUGAGUGUUGCUAAACGAACUUUAAAAUUAACUGAAUACACCCUAUGAUCUAAGUUCAUCCUAAUUUUUAAAUCAAAAUAUAAAAUUAACUAAGUACAGCCUAUUUAACUAUCAAAAAUGUACUUGUUACACCCUAAUACACUCUAUUACACAACACCAAACCCAUUCAAGAACUGACUGCCGAACACUCCAUCGGACCACCAUAUCUGUCCUCACAAUAGGGUGGAAAAAAUCCAAGCAUCUCAUGGAAUGUCUUCCUAGUUUAUGAAUGUAAAAAGUAACAUAGACGAAUGAUACAAUUGAUUUUGGGAAAACAUGUGCCCUCAACCAACCUAAGAUUCUAAGCAGCAGUGUGUCAAAAACACAAAUCCUGUGUUUUUCAAUUUAUCGUUGAAGAAGGCGAAUUUGCUGAAAAUAUAAAACAGAAAAUGAAAACGGUGUUGGACCCUUACCAUGAUUGUAUCUUGUAUUUUUUGUAAUUAAGUUGCGUGCCUAUGACAACGAAUGCCAUAUAUGCGUAUAGAAAAAAAAAAAAAAAACCCCCUCAUAACAUAUUGAUUUUUAAACUUGUUUUUUUUCUUAACCAUUAGAUUAGAUCUAAUGGUGAGUGAUCACAAUUUCUUUGAACUAUAGGGAUCCAGGAGAACGGAACUAUAGGUAAAUGUGUAUCAGAAUACAAAUGGAAAGAAUCAUAAUGCAAAUGGAAAGAAAGGCUGAUGAGUUCCCUUGGAAUUGUGUUUUGGUUAUGUUUUUUUUUUUUUUAAAUUUGAAAAAAAAAAAUUAGUUUACAGUUGACACUAUUAAGUUGGGCUCAAAUGGUGUCAAGUGCGUGGUGUCUCAAAACGUAAAAAUAGGGGACAAAGUAGGGUUUUUUAUUGGGCCGAGCCGGGUUUUUCCUGACUUUUUCUUUUGUUAUGUUGGGUUGAGGUUUCAAAAGACCAGGCCCAGACUUGCCCAUUGAGUUGAGCCUAUGAGGACCUUUCAGGUCGGGUCGGGCCAGGUCACCGAUGGGCUUAAACGAGUCGGGCAUUUUAUUUUAUUUUUAAUAUUUUUUUAGUAAUUUUUUUUUAUAUCUUUUUGUUACAAAUUUUUAGACAACAGGGGACUGCAUUAAUUUUUUAAAAAAAAUUAAAGACCGGAGGCCUUUGUUGUAAACUGUUUAUUCGUUCUAAAGCAUGCUACUUGUUGGGAUAUUAAAUUGUGAAUUUUAGCAGAUUGAAAAUUUGGGAAAUGUUCAAUUUACAGGGGAGACUGCCAAAAUUUUGGUAGGAAGUCUUUUCUUUAGUAAAUGGGCCCGACAUCGGUAAGAUGUCGAAAAUAUGAUGGGAUUCGUCCUGGUUUCCGAGGAAUCUGGAGCGGGUCCUGUCAAGCGUAUCAUGGUUAUCCAAGCUAAAUAGGGUGUAGGAAGGAACCUAUUGAAAUUGGAAAUGACCGUGAAAUUGAAUCAUUCUCUUAUACAAUACUCUUUAUUCACAUUAUUAGAUAAUGAAAUCUAAUGUCGAAUAUCCAAAUGUUUAUAUGAUUAUCCUAGUAAAAUUUGAAAACUUCUUCUUUGAAAUCUUAUCCACUAUUCUGCUCAGAGAUUUGAUCAAUCAUAUCCUUGGAGUAUUCUCUCUCUUUACUGAGAGUAGAGAUUCCUUGUUGUACAUUCAUUCGUCUCCAUGAAUUUAUUGAGAGUCCUGAUGAACACUUUUAAGUCAUGUCUCCUACAACACAACUGUAUAGUGCCCUCAAAGAGAAACAACAUAGCCACAAGACAUCUAUAAUGUCUCUGGUCUAAGAUUAGUUUUUGCACCAUUACAAUCUAUGAGUUCUAGUUUGACAUGUGAGUAAAGACUUCCAUUCUAGAACUCAUGUAUAUAUACGAUCGCUUCAGUGUACUUAUUCUUCUACAAGUAUCUACACACAUAUCUUGGUGUCAACACACUCAAUGAUUUGAGACCUCGUCAUUCUCUACAUGUAGAAAAGAUAUUGUGUGUACUAGUCUUGGAGGAAUAUCAACGCCCAAUUGAUACUCGUAUGACUAGGGACAUAUUUAGAAUUAGGGAUCAUGAUAAGUCUUGAUGUAUGCAAUCUCAUUACAUAGUUCUCAUGUCCACUUAUAUUCCUAGGACUAUAGUUGUUUUACGGUUAUGAUAAUAUGCCAAAUAUCAUGGUUGAAAACAAUUGGUCUUGCUCAUGAAUAACUUAAUAAGUCAUCACAUAAGAUGUCCUUAACAUUAAUUAUUGUAUAAUUAGUUGGCUUUUAGAGCAUACUACUAACAGUUUCCUUGUCAUAGUUGAGAUGAUACAGUGUGUUCUCUGUCGAAUGCUCUCACUAUCUUGUUGCUGUGCAAAAGACUAUGAUUUCAUAGCAAGAUUCUUUUGACACAAGAUAGUACUUUCGAAAAUUAUCUCUCUAACUUUUAAAAUGUAAGGAACAUCACAAUUAUGUUGAUUUGUUUGACCAGUUGGGUAUUUAAGUCAUUUGAAUUGUUAUAUUUUGUCACAUGAUUUCUCUAUCUAACUUCUCACCUCUUUAUGAAUUCAUCUAUUUACUUAAUUUUUUUUUUUAUUUUUCGCCUAAUUUUUGACAUGACCUAACUGUACUUCUCACAAAUUGAUACGUUUGAAAAAACUUUUCACCUAAUUUUACAUCCUAAACUUUUCAUUUAAUUUUUUCUUCAAAAUCUCUCUAUUUAAUAUGUCACAUUAUUUCCUCCCUUAUUCUUCCUCUAACCUUGUAUUCUCCACCUAAUUCUCCCACCUAUUGCCCACUGCCUACGUACGUCAUCGAUCCUGAAAAGAGUAUCUUUUUAUACAUAGAAACUCCCCACAUCAUUCUUUUAAGGGAAUUUGUUUUCGAUAGCCAACAACUCCUUUUUCAUUACAGCAUAGAUUCCCCACAAUGCCAAUGCAGGUCCUACAAUCCAAAAGGACUUGAACCCAGAGACAAGUUCGGUGCCUAAAUUUUGGGCAGAAAUCUCUCCUUAAUUAAUAUCCUUUGGAACCUUCCAACUUAAGUUUCAUUUCCUGAAUCCUAGGGCUCCAAGUUGUUUUGCGUUAUUAUACAUAAAUAUAGAUAAGACACCUGAUCGAAUUACCCUUUAUAAAAUUAAUUGAUGUUACAUUAGUUAAAUCCAAAAGGUAAAGAUCCUGAAAUUCAGAGCAAGACCAAGUGCCAAGACUUAGUGCUUAUUAGGAGGCCGUUUGGGACAUGUCUUAUAUGGGACUGUUUCUGAAGAAGGCGCUUAUACGCUCAUAAGCAUUUUUUAAGAAGUGCUUCUAUUACGUUAAAUUUUUUAUUGAAAAUCAAAGUGCUUUUUGGAUCUUUUCGCAGCAUGGGUUCUAUGACCAUUAAGGGAUGAUCUGAAUCCUCUACAUUUCGAUGGAUAGGGGAAGGAUUUGGGAAAGGUAGAAGUCAGGCUCACUUGUAGGGUAUGUAGUUGGAAAGCGUGCUGGAACUUACAAAAAGGUGUUUGCUUGCUUUUGAAGCAUGAUUUCAAGCAUGAUUCUGAAUCUGAUGCGUAGCCAUUGCCGGACCGCAUUGCCGAUCCACCGCUAGACCUAAUUUGGAUUGGUUCAGUUAGGGGAUUAAGCUCCAACCUGUAUUGAACUGAUCCCAUGUCCAUCCUGACUUUUAGCUUAUCUACGUAUUGAAAUUAAUUUGAAAGCAUGUAUAACAGUUCUGUUUUAUUAAUUAAAUUUGUGCUUACAAUCAUGGGACUUAACCCAGCCUACCCUUUUCGCCAGGCUAACCUUAUGUUUUCUUGAGUUAGAACUGAAGGGCUUAUUUUUGAGAAGCAAAGGAUCAUGCUACAUUUGGUCUAAAUAUAAUACUUCAAUACUGCACGACUACUUUAACACACUUUUCGAAUAGACACGUCAAUCUGAUUUUAAGGGAGUCCAAACUUAACAGUUGGAAUGUUGAGUUAUGAAUAGCAUCCCUUGCAUGCUUAUCUUGCUUGCAGCAUCGUAAGGCCAACAUACCUGCCCAAAACCGAAAAUUCAGAGGGUUAGAAUGUAGUAAUAUGGCAUACAGUUCACUACAAACAAGCCAAUCAACAACAUAGUUGUUGAUAAUUCAUUUCUUGUAGUUUUAUUAUGUUUUAGAGUGUCUAUAACAUACCUGCCUAACAUCAUAAGGGUUGCCUGAGGAUUUGUCCCUGGUGAGAAAUUGAAUACGGAGGUAUCAACAACACGUAAUGCGUUGAUCCCCAUAACACGCAAACCACCAUCAACCACCUUUCCAACAAUGGAUCCACCCUGGUAAUGCCAAAAUGUGGCCACUGAACCUUGACAAAAUAUUUUAAAGGAUAAAAUGUCUGUUUGGUUCUUUGGCAAAGAUAGUCCAAAAAACUUGAAGCCUUCUAUUCCCGGCAAAUCUUCAGCCUUAAAUGGUUUCAUUGCGUCUGUCCUUAACAAAUCACCAAUCUUCUUCAUGCCACUUACACAACGAGCAAGGUCCACCGGAUUUGAAAGGUAGUUGAAUCUAACAUUUGGACCAACCCUAACAUCCGACGAUGAUUGUAGCUUAAGAGAACCAUACGACAAGGGUCCUGGAAAUUUGAUAACAAUUUGUCCGUAACUCGAAUCUACCUUGAUGGGAUUAGAUGGAUUAGGAAAAAUGCUAAAUGGUGGAGAAGAAAAUGGCAAUCCAGAGAUUGUCUCAACGUAGAAAUCAUUGGUAAUGCCUACAAUCUUUACAGCUGAGGGUUCUAGUGGGAAUGGAGGCAAAAUGUUUAUUAAAUUACGAGGAUUGUCAUACAUAAACUGUCCGACAUAUGGAUGGGAACGCACAACUGGGAUUUUCAGGGAUGAUAGGUAAGACUCCGGGCCAACACCACUAAGUAGUAGAAGUUGAGGGCUCCCGAUUGCCCCUGCACUCAAUAUAACCUCUCCCUUACCACGUACAAAUGCGCGAUGAGAUCUCCCGUUCGAAUCACUAUAUAUGAUUCCUAUAGCUGACAAACCUGCAUUAGAUACUAGCUUAUUUAAUUAAUAUCAAACAAUUUCUUACUGAACAUAAACUUAAUUGUUCAUCAUAGCACAUAUGCAAGAUAUAUACUUGACGUAUUGGAAGAGAAGAUGAUCUUCUCUACUGUGGCAUGAACAGCAACUCGCAAGUUCUUUGGCUCUCCUCUAUUCAGAAGUUCCACAGCUCCAUGUCUCCUUCCAUGAUUGUCAAAAGUUGAACCCCCAAUUUUAGUUCCUUUAAUGUGAUCCACAUUAAGUCCAUUGUCUGGACCAACACCAGCCUCCAACAAAGCUUCUUUUACAGCAGAUUGCCAUUGUGUCAAGUUCGGGGAAAACACGAUACUGUCUUCAACCCACUGAUAUGCCUUAUUCACCAAAUCCAUGUCCCAUUCAAUUCCUGAUUUCAGAAAGAAUUCCCUGUCAGCUCUUGAGUAGAAGCCAGCAUUGAUCAUGCUUGACCCUCCUAGGACCCUGCCUCUUACAUUAGGAACACCAUCUUCUGACAUGAAUCUUUGAGCUGGUGUCUUGCCAUCAUCUUCUUGCAUGAGAUUGUUCAAAAAGCCAUCUUCACGCAGAACGCUGGGAUAUGCUGUAGGAACACUGCCCCUUUCCAAAAGGAGCACCGAGUAAUUCAAGGAUAAAGUGGCCGCCAAUGGACACCCAGCUGUUCCUCCACCAACUACAAUGUAGUCAUAUGUUGCUUCUAACUGCGGAGGGGUUGCGUUAUACACAAAUUUCAUGUAGCUAAAAUCUGAAAAAUGUGAAGACAUGAAGAGUUAUUUGUUAUGAUAAGAUAUAGAACAUGUAAUUUCAUCUUAGUUUAUCAUUCUCUUUUGCUGUUUCAUUUUUUUAUUUCUUUUUCAUGGAAUCACAGAUGAAGCAAUUUACCAUGAUUGGAAGUAGUGGCGAACGAAUGAACCUCUGAUUGAAGAUGAAGGACAAAAAGGAGCAACACCAAUAGUGUAGCAGAUAUUAUCGAUUUGUCCAUCUCUUUGAAACCAGAUAGACGUCUUUCCACCUGGAAAAUUGAAAAACACUUUCAUGGCCUCUUAUGGAAUUUACAGAGAGCACUCUUACACUUGGUAAAUUCAAUUAGAAAUCAAGAUUUCAAAAAUCACACGAAUUUGCUAAAGUCAAAAAUCACAGUACAAAUUUAAUAUACAACUGACCUCUAAACACUUCAAAUCUCAUAGAUUGGUCCAUGUUCAGAAAAGAAAAUAAUGUAAAGGGAAAAAACAAUGUAUCUUAAUAUAUUUGAAUCGUUGGAACCAAAAAAAAAACAUUAUUAGAAUCGUAUUCCUAAUAGAAAAUAUUUUGAAAUGCUCAUGAAUCUUUAUCCGUAAUUGAUCUAGAUCAGAGGCCUAUUAUAAACGGGGUUAGCCUUCUUUAUCUUUGACCUGAUAGUACGUAUAGUGAACAAAUAGUACGUCUUAAUUGUUUACCCAUGGAUUCCCUAAAACUCUCCAAGCUAUAGGACAUUUAAAGGCCAAGGAGGUGUCCAGCAACCCAAGGACUCCAAGGUGUUCUCUUACAAGGGUCGGUGCCUAAAUUUUAGGCACCUCUCUUUUUAAUUAUAAUUUGGAGCCUUCUUACUUAGGUUCCAUUUCAUGACUCCCACGACUCCAAGUUGUUUUAGCUAAUUGUAGGGGUUAUUCAAGAAUGGCCACCGCACCACACAAUCCCAGAUACAAACCCCGACCUAACAUAUAUGUAUAGAUAUAGAUAAGACAGUUUUUUUUUUGGGAGCUUUAGUAAUAUACCCAAAAUAGGGGCUGUAAUUAUAAAAAAACCCUACAUAGAAUGCACUUUAGAAACACACCCAAAAACCAUUUACUACAUAUAAAAUUAGUAUUGAAGUUCGUAUAAAUUACAUCUCUGCCAUUGAUUAACUUAAAAUAAGCCCAACACAAAAUUCCCAAAAGAACCCAAAACAAGCUCAGCGAGCCCAUAUUAGAUUUUUUUUGAAAAAAACCCAAACUUAAUAUAAAAUAAAAUAAAAAAUCAUGAAAACCAAGGGUCUGUCCCCACGACCCUUCAUUCUCCAUCAAACCUCCGCAAACCAUAUCAUAGAAGUACAUUGUUAAUACCAUGUCAUAAAAGUACAUUAUUAAUACCAUGUCAUAAAAGUGCAUUGUUAAUACCAUGCUAUAGAAGUAUAUUGUUAAUACAAUUUCAUAGAAAAACAUUCUUAAUACAAUUUCAUACAAAAACAUUGUAAAUACCAUUUCAUACAAAAAAUCCAAAAAACCCUAACAAGAGAUUCGAUAUCCUUUGCUGCCACCUCCAAUUGUCCAUAGUUUCACCAGAUACAAUCGCAAAGGCAAAAGGAAAUACCUUUACAAGGAAAAAACAAGUACACUGUUAAUACUAUGUCACAGAAGUACAUUGUUAAUACUAUGUCAUAGAACUAUUGUCCUAAUAAAAAUCACAUUUUGCAUAUCAUAAACUUCAAGUGCACAGCCAUAUAUAGAGCAAAAUAUAGAGCAUGCUUUGUUACUGAAAAUCUGUUAAUACUAUGUCAUAGAAGUACACUGUUAUUACUAUGUUAUUUAAAUCAACUCAGUUGCAGGGUAUGAACAGUAUAACAGCUGUUCAUACCACUUACUGGAAGUUAACAACUGCUCAUAUGACUUACAGAUAACAAAUUGUAUACUAAAACGACAUUGCCGAGUUCGGCGUAUUCCGCUCUUCAAAGAAGAGCUUCUUCAAUGGCGGCCGCAGAGAGGAAGAGGAAGCGGCAGCCCCUUUGGCUAUGGAAAAAUCAUCGUCGACGGCAUCUGCGAAGAAGAGAUCCAGGUUGAAAAUCAGGAACACAAGACAGAUCUGGCCAUUUUGGAAUAUAUCGUCGGUGGAAAUCGGCGAUCCGUCGGGGUUGGUGCAUGCGAAAGAGAAAUCAAGUAGAAAUUCAAGUAAAUUAAGCAAAAAUCAAAAUGAAAAUAACGAAUUGAAGCAGAUGGAACAAACCUGCAAAGGAAAUGGAGGCAUCGGCGGCGAGAACACGUGUGAGGCCACCUACGUAACGGAGAUUGUCGUCGGUCUUGUGUUGGUCCAUGGCUUUGAGACUAUUUGGUUUACUUUGAAGGCAUAGAGAGGGAAGAAGGGAGAGAACAAAGGAGAGAUGGUGGUUUGAAGCAGGAGAGGGGCUUAAGGCUUCAAACCUGAGGGAGGGCUUGAUGCUUCAAACCUGAGGGAGGGCUUGAUGCUUCAAACCUGAGGGAGGCUUCAAACGAGAUCCAAAACUAACUUAAUGCUAAAAAGGGUAAUAAAGAUAUUUCAUCUUAUUAAUUAAAUUAAAAAAUAUACAAUUGUUGAUUUUUGGGUUUAUUUUGGGUGUGUUUCUAUGUUUUAAAUUGCGUAGGGUAUAUUUAUAGUUUCAUGUCUAGGAAUGGGUGUUUCACUAAUUUUGUAUUUUUUUUUCUCUCUUUUCCCACUCCCCUUUUGUUCAUUAGGGGCUAUUUGUUACACAGGCUUGGCUUGGCCUGGUUUGGACUAAAUUUAAUCCCGUGUUUGUUUCAUCUAAUCCUAAUCUUAGAAGGGAUUGCUAAUACCGGGCUCACCAAAAACACCUCCUUAGGAGGGAACUAAUAAACCCAUGUGGGAACUAAGAUGCAUAUAUUAUAUUGUAAUAAUAAUAACAUAUAUUAUUAUAAUAUACCCAUAUACCCAUAAAAAUAGGGCACACAGCAGAACAUAGAAACUCUGUGAACACAGCAAAGGCAAGGCAAAGAACACAGAAAUCUUGUGAACACGACAAAGAACACAGAAAACCUGUGAACACGGUAAAGAACAGAGAAACUCUAUGAACACGGCAAAGGCAAGGCAAACCCAAACCCUAAAAUAGGGUAAGGCAAAGUAAAGGCAAGACAAGGCAAGGCAAAUCAAGGCAAAGAGAAGAAAAGGAAAGACAAGGUCAACGGUGGUAGUAGCGGUAAUGGCAAUGGAAAACGGUAAUGACAUCCAUAUCAAUUUUAGCUAAUUCUCGUAGACACAACUUGUAAUUGGUGCUUAGUGAUGGGUAUAUUAUAUAUUAUAUAUUUAAUCUCAUUCUUAGUAUAUUUUGGUUAAUAUUUUCGAAGAAUUUUGAUAUUUUGAAUUAUAUUUCCAAUACAGGACUUUUGACUCUCUCUGGAACAAAACGUAAUCAAAUGGAAGAAUUUUGGAGUAAUUCCAGUUAGAGGACGUUUGUGAGUCACUUAGCUUGAUCGUAUCAAAAUUUUAGACUUUUCUACCAAGCGGUUAUUUUCUGCCAAUAAAAUAAAGGAGCAGUGCGCGGUGCUGGAAUAGUGACGUUUUGGGCUUUUAUUGCGUUUUUGGAGCCCAAGAUGAUAUCGGAUGGGUUCAUGACCUUCUGGAGAAAUGUUCAGAAUAUUUUUUUCUUUAAAAAAAGCUAUCUGGGGCCAGAUUUGGAGAAGAUUUGAGGCCAAAACGUGGCUGGGCAGAUUGUGGGCUGAUUCUCCUAAUCCAAUUUGGACUUUAUUUCCUAGUAUUAUUUUAUUUUAAUUAGUUUCUUUGUGGGGAUAGAAAAGCUGUACAUUGGCAGCUAGUUUAAGCUCUUUCUCACAACAAUUUGGCGGACUUCGUUUUGGCUCUUGAACGUGGAGAGCAAUUGCUAGAGUUUUGGGUUUUCAGCGACUUUCAGGUGUUUUCGUUCUUAUUCAUUCAAAUGAUAUUUUCAUUGAUUUUAAUUAUGAAUUUGCGUAACUAAUUCCUUUUGCUAGGGUGAAGCCAUAAGCCUUAGCAUGAAUAUGUAAUUUAUUAAUUGCUUUUGAAUGGAUGCAUGUUUGCUUUGAAUUAUUAAUCACUGCAUUUAAAACUAUCUACCUAUUUUAAUGACUGAUCACCAUUAGGAUAUGUAGACAAGUAAUUUGAUGCAAUUUUUGUUGGAACAUCACCCUGAAAUUGAGGAUGGCUUCUUGUGAUUAGUAGUUGUAAGUUCACUUAAGGCGAACAUCACGCUCUUAAGGGUUGCAUAGUUUUUCAAAGGGUUUUCACAAAGCUUAAUGAGUCUUGCAUGUUUAUAUUUGAUCUGAACAUCACAUACGGAUUGCAUGCUAGAUAUAUGUUUUCGCUUGAACAUCACAAGGAAAAUAUGCAUUAGGAAAACCUAACCUUCAAAGCAUUUAUGUGGAAAUUCAUAAGUAAUUGAUAGAAUUGCAUAGGAUUGUGACAGUAAUGGCUAAGCCCUAGUUUUCCCUAAAUUGUUAGUCUUUAGAAAGAAAACGUUUUUCUUUUCUCCUGUUAUUAUUUCCCAACUUUCAGAUUUCAUUUACUAUUAAUUUAAUCUUUUCAAAUUCAUAAACUUCAAAUCUUUGAUAAAAUCUAUUUUAGUUAUUAAUUAAGAGUUAGUUUAAUUACAAAUUAGUCAAACAAUCUUUGGGGACAACAACAUUGCAUGAGCAUAUAUACUACAAUAGCCUUGUAUUCUUGCAAGUAUUUGAUGUGAUUUUAACCCUGUUUGCACAAGUACUAAAAAUCCUAUCACUUAGGUAAAAAGGGUAAACUAAAACCCCAAUGGACAGAACGGACAAGCAGGAAACAGACAACAAAGGAUUCCUAACCAAUAUGUUCCUAGCUAAUUCCUAGUCACAAACCUAUGAAUGCAGAGUAACCAAACAUACACAUUCAAUUUCUAUUGGAGGUGGUUGGAGAUGGUGUGCUUAGUGGUUGUUUUCUUUCUUCUUGGGGUAUUAUGUUCUUUGUCGGAUGUUCUCACUGUCUUGUGGCUGUGCAAAGGACUAUGAUUUCAUAGAAGGACUCUUUUGACAGUUGGAUUGUGUUCUCGUCGAAGGUCUUUGUGUCAGUUUGCUGUUUUAUUUUAUCUUGCUCUAGCAUUGAUCUUGCCUGACUGUUUCAAACUCUUUUUGUUAGUCUAUGACAUGUGUGGUGCUUUUUCCUCCACUAAGGUUUGUCCCUCGAGAAGGUUUCAACGAGGCCACUGUUUCAUGUCAUUCCAUGUAUGCUACUUUGAUUCUAUUUAUAAAUUCCAUUUCUAAAAAGAUGUUGCUCAAUAUAAAGAGGCCUCCAACAUACAACUUUAUAUGCAAUUUUUUUUUAGUUCUGCUAAACGAACCCUAAAAUUAACUGAGUAUACGCUAUGAUCUAAGUACACCCUAAUAUUAUAAUCAAAAUGUAAAAUUAACUAAAUCCCAAAAGGCCUCGUACUAGAUAGAGGCGGACAUGUACAUAUAAGACACAUCACCCCCUCUCCGUUGGUCGAUGUGGGAUCUUACAAUCCACCCUCCUUAGGAGCCCGACGUCCUCGAUCGUCGGCACGCUCACACCACAAGGCAGAGUGGCUUUGAUACCAUUCUGUCACAUCUCGGAUCGGCUCUGUCAUAGCACGAUAUUGUCCGAUUUAGGCUCCCCUGCCCUCACGAUUUUGUUUUUGAAAACUCACGAGCAACUUCUCAGUGGGUCACCCAUUCUGGGAUUGCUCUAACCCAAACUCGCUUAACUUCAGAGUUCUCAUGACUUCGAAGCCAGUGACUCCCAAAAGGCAUUCUGCUAGAUAGAGACAGACAUAUACAUAUAAAGCACAUCACCUCAUCUCCGUUAGUCGAUGUGGGAUCUUACAUUAUAAGUUUAUAUCCUCUCUGUCUGACAAUGUUUGUAAGAUCAUUACUACUAUUUUGGACAAAUAGAUCAAUCGAACUUGCUACUUUACUUGUUAAUGAAUAUAUGUAUUAUAUAUUUAUAUGAAAUAUAUAUAAUAUUAAAGUUAAACUUGCCGUUGCUGCUCUGGCCAAAAUUUCAUGAAGAAAAGAAAAAAAAUAUGGCAACAAGCAUUAAGUGAAACUUUGUAGAAAGUUCUCAGAAAAGUAACUGUUGAAUUUUAUACAUAAACCCUAAUAAAGCAAAUUGAAUAAAAUUCUGGUAAAAGUACAAAAACAAAAACCAAAAAUUAUCAGAAAAAGUAAUGGAAGAACCUUUCGUCCUGCAAUUCGCCUCCAUCAGUGAACGUUGCGUUGUUCGUUGUGGGCACCAUAUAAUACAAAAACUUCUCUACAGUUGAUUAGGGUUGAAUAUGAUAAGUAGGGUGUACUUCUUAAUUUUUUAUUUUUUUUUCACAAUUCAAUAUAUCUUUUUUGGUUAUUUUAUAUUAGGAUAAAUUAUAGUAAUUCAAUAAAUAGUUUAUUAGUACGGUGUACUCAGUUAAUUUUAGGGUUCAUUUAGCAGCACUUUUUUUUCCAGCAACAUAUAUAAUUUUGUUUUCAAGCUUCAAGCUUCAACCACUCAACUCUCUCUCUCUCUCUCUCUCUCUCUCUCUCUCUCUCUCUCUCUCUCUCAAAUUCUUAGAGUUUGUUUUUCCUAUAUUUUGUAUAUUAUUGUUUUUUUUUCUUGGUUAUUAGUAAUUAGUAAUUUGAUGAUCACAAGAUUUUGAAUAUAUAUUUUGAUUCUUUUUUUUAUAAUUUUUGGUUGAAGACUUUAUUUUAGGAAGCCCUUUUGUUAUUUUGGCAUAGGUCCCCUAAAAUCUCAGAGUCGCCAAUGUUCGAACUUGAGACCUCUUCUCUAUAAGUUAAGGCCAUUUUUCACUGAGUAGGUAUGCAUUUUUAUUAAAUCAUGAUAAUAUGUAAAUUUUAUUCAUAAUCGAUAAUAUAGGUAGAUUCUUUUCCACAAAAACUAACAGGUUAUAUAUCGUCCAAAUAUAUAUAUAUAUAUAUAUAUUCUAGAUAUGCUAUUUUUAUUAAAUCACAAAAUUGGUACAUUAUUAUUCAAAAAAAUUUAAAAAUAACGUAUCCAAAUCUUAGAAUAGUGGUAGGUGUGUUAAAUUUUAGAAGAGAAAUUAUUUGCAUCUUGUUUAGAGCAUUUCCACCAGUUAGCCCCUUGCCAUGGCAAGGGGAGCUCUAGGGCAGCUACUAUUCACGUGAAUAGUGGCUGCCCUAUCCCCCCUCAGCAAAGUGUGUUUCCAGCAGUUUAGGCUUGCCAUAGCAAAUACUAUUCAUUUUUUUAUUUUUUUCACAACUUUGUUUACUUAAACAAUUACUUUGGAUAAUAUUUUCGGAUAAGAUUUUUGGGUUCCUAUGUGUCAAUACUAUUCAUAUCGAUAAGAUUUUUGGGUUCAUAUGUGUCAAUACUAUUCAUAUCGGAUAAGAUUUUCGGUUUCAAAUUUUAGAUAAAUUUCAAAUUUUAGAUACAUUUCAAAAUUCAAAUUUCAGAUAAAUUCAAAAUGUCAAAUUUCAGAUACAUUUCGAAAUUCAAAUUUCAGAUAAAUUUCAAAUUUCAAAUUUCAAAUUUCAUUUGAAUUUAAAAUUUCAGAUAAGAUUUUCACCCUCUAAGAUUGCGCCGCGUGUCAUAUCUAUCUGUCUACAUUUUUCUAUAAAACCAGAGGUUCAGCUCAUAGCUCCCACACCAGUUCUUCUCUACAUUUCCAUUUCUCAUAUUUUAGAUUUCAUUCUCCAUUCUCAAUGGCAGACAUGCAAGAGGUUUUGGAGAGGCAAGAGCGAGAAACUAGAGAAAGAAUGCGUAGACGAGCUGCAAGCAAAAGGGCGCAGAGAAAACUAGACGAGCAACUUGGCAUAGCAGUUGCUUUGUUGGAGGAAGAAAACCAGAGUAGCCGUGGUUCACGAGAAGACCGUGACCCAAAUGUGGACAGACAUAGACAUUCUCGGGGUGAGAAUCUUAUGGAAGAUUAUUUUAUCCUACAAUCUCUGUACUCUGAUGUUUAUUUUCAAGGGAGAUAUAGAAUGCAACCUCAUUUGUUCAAUAAAGUCAUGCAUGAUAUUUGCAAUUAUGAUGAAUAUUUUGUUCAAAAGAGAAAUUGUGUUGGAAAUUUGGGACUUCUUCCAGAGCAAAAGUUCACAGCUGUGAUACGAAUGUUGGCGUAUGGGUCAUCUGCUGAUCAGGUGGAUGAGAUUGCCCUGAUUGGGAAGUCCACUGUUGAGAGGUGCUUUGGUACCCUUCAAGCCCGGUGGGCUAUUAUCAGGGGCACGACACGUCUAUUUGACGAGGAGGUGCUUAGGAGUAUAAUGAUGACUUGUAUCAUCCUCCAUAACAUGAUUGUGGAAGAUGAAUAUGAUUACGAUGCUGAUGAAGUCUAUGAACCAAAUCCCAUGGACACGGCCCUAACACGAAUUUAUGAAAAACCAGUGGGGCCAAAUGGGGAACCAGUGCAGCAUGAACCGUUGGUUAGAGACGGUAGUUUCAUGCCCCGUAUGAUUGAUCGCUACACGGAGAUGCAAUCGUCGUAUAUUCAUGAACACCGUCAAGUUGACUUGAUGGAUUAUUUAUGGGCGGUGAAAGGCAAUGAAGGUGAAUGAAGUGAAGUGAAGAUGUUUUUUUAAUUUAUUAUGUUUAUGUUGUAUUUUUAGUUAUGCUUUGUUUUUUUUAUGCUUUAUUUUUUCUAGUUGUGGGUUGUUUAUUUUUUAUGCUUUGGUUGUGGGUUUUUUUAUUUUUUAUGCUUUAGUUGUGGUUUAUUUAUUUUUUAUGCUUUGGUUGUGGUUUGUUUUUUUUUUUUUUUUUAUGCUUUGGUCGUGGUUUGUUUUUUAUGUAUGGAAUGUUUUGAAUAAAAAGGAUUUUUGUUAAAUAUUUUCUUUAUUCACUAAAAGAAAAGCAAUACAACUAAUAAAAUAAAAUACAUGAAUUAAACAAAACAAAAAAUACAAUGAAAUCAAAGGCAAGUAAACUAAGACAAGAAAGGCAAGCAAACUAUUUUAAUGGUUUUCAUCAUUUAACCAAUCCGUGUUGCUAGGUCCAUCGUCACGAAAAAGUCUUCGUCUCAUAACAUCCCUUCGUUCUAGCUUCCAAAAUUGUUUUGUUUCAGGAGACAUAUGGCUUGUAUCCAUGGCCAUGGUUUCCCGAUCUUUUUUUUCAAUGCUUUGUUCGCGUACAUACUCCCUUUCUUUUGCAUAUUCUAGUUGAAUAGCCAUAUCGUGCUCUUGUUGUUUCAAGUCCAUUUCAAUUCUCAUGGCUUGGUGCUUUGAAAGUUCCUCCAAAAAUUUAGAUGCAUUCUUGCUAGAAUUACUCCCUCUCUUUGCCUUCGCCGCCUUCCUCCCAAUAGGCCUUGACUUCUUUUCAAUGGGUGAGUCUUGACUCAUCGGGGAAUCCAUAGGUGAAUCCGAUGCCGGCUUCUCAUGAAGUGGAGUCUCGUUCAAGACUACCGUCAGACCGGUUGGAAUAAUUUGGAAUCUCUAGUCUUCACCACCUCCCAACAAUGGGUAUAGUUGAAACUUUUUUUCCCUUGUCCAGUAGCACCAAACCACAUUUGUGCUUGCAUAAUCUAUAAAAAAAAAAAUUAAAUGGAAAUGCAAGAAACUUUAAAAAAUAUUGGCAAUGCAACAUGUAAAAAAAAAAAAAAAAAACUAAUGCAAAUUCAAUAAAUUUAAAAAAAAAUGCAACAUGUAUAAAAAAAAAACUAGAGACAUAUUAACAAAAUAUAUAAAUUGCAAGAAACAUAUAAAUAAAAAUUAAUAUGACAUAGAAAUUAAUAGAACGAAAAUGACAAAUAAUUUACCUCAUUGCUAAGGUUUUCUCCGCUUCGAUGGUUGUCCAUCGCUUUUGCUAAGGCAUUUCUCCAUUUCGCCAACUCUUUAUUAAGAAUUUUCCACAUACUGGAUAAUGUCAUUUCUGCACGUGUAGAACCAAUUGCCCUUUCACAAAAUGCUUGAUGAAUUUUUUUCCACAUAUGAGAAAAUUUAAUCUCAUUGCCCGUUACGGGACAAUGACUAACUUGGACCCAAGCCUCACACAAGCUAACAUCUUCCAGUAAGACACGUCUACCGGGAAGCGGGUGGUUGCUGACGAUCUGGUACCAAUUGGUGAUGCUCAACAUAAUAGUUUGCAAACUUCUUGUUGUUUGUGCCAUUGUAACUCUUGUAUGAUAAUAGGAAUAUAGGGAUCCUUAGAGGUUUUUUGUAAUUUUAUUUCUCGUUUUCAUAAAAGAAACCACUUUAGAGUAACCCACUUUGCUGUAUUAACCAAUGUUUUAGAUCUCAUUUAGCUCCUACCGUCAAAUUCAUCAAAAAGUCUAUUACAAAUGCUCUUGUGGCACAAAUGGCCCUACCGUAUCGGUGAAAUGUAUGCCACAUAAUUGUCAUGUGUAGAAAAAACAUUUGAAAAAUUAACUUAAAACUAAAAAUUGAAGUAAAAAAUAAAAAACCCACGACCCAUCCACCGAACCUCAACAAUCACCACAACCACCCCAUCCUAGUGAUGGCAAUCCCCUAUUCUCUGCACAGUAGUCGAGCUGGAGAUAGAGCAACCCCCAGUUUUUCUGAAUGGUGAAUUUUUGGGUGAACAUUUAUGGUGUCUCAUCUUGGUUGCUUGAUUGGUCAAAAUUUUCAUAUAUUCUUGCAUUGCUCAAAUGAAUGUUCACACACUAUUCACUUUAGUUGUUCCUAGCACUCAGGAUGCCUAAAUUGACGAAUCCUUAUAAGUGCCUACGUUGUCACAUAGUUUUCUUCUAGGUGUGUAGGUUUUGACAUUCAUCUGUUGUGAAUCUGUGGUUAGAUUGCAUGUUCAUGGGUCUAUGCCUAGGUGUGGACUAGUCAUACUGUUACUAAGAUUAUCUAGUCAUUUGUGUCAUAGAUCUGUCCGAUUAGAGUUUUGAUUUACCCAAUUCACCUAAGUGCCAAUUUCACUAUUGCUAGUUAACAUUGGAUGAUGGAACUUAUUAUGUUAACAAAAUCACAAGUGAUAUCAGUUUAUUCUUUGAACUCAUUUCAAUGUCUUAAAUAUGUAUUUAAAUUUCUUCAUGGAAGUUGCCAUGUCUUAUGCUAGACACUGAAUCUGUAUCCUAUAUCUAGUAAGCGUAUAUUACCUGCUCAUAUUGAUCUACCUGAUUGGGUAGCUGAUGUAACUUUUAGUUCAAACGCCUAAAAUUUGAGUAGAUAUAGUGCUUCAUCUUUUUUGACAUAAAUGGAAAUUAAUUGUUGCAUUGUGUUCGUCAAUUAGGUUUUUGUGUGUUCCUUUGGAAAUUGGUACUUAGGUGACGAGAAGUAAAUUUUAUGACACUUAAACAAAAUGCAACAAUCUUCACACACUUUAGAUCUUGAUCAAAAAAACACUUAUGACUAGUCAACUACUAGUCAUGAACAGCCACAAUCAAGAAUACACACAGAGCAUGCCACAAUGUACUUGCAACCCUAGAAGAUUACUAGUGACAACCUAGGCACUCAGAAGGACCCGUCAAUCUAGGCAUCCCCUGCGCUAGCAACAACUAUAGUGAAAGUGUGUGAAAUCAUCAUAAUCAAGUAAACACCAAACAACAGAUAAUGAUGACUAGUCAACUAUAAGGACACAAACCCAGAACUCAUACAAUGACGAGUCGACCACUAAGAACACAAACCCAGAAUUCAUACGAUGACUAGUCAACCACAAUUCAUACGAUGACUAGUCAACCUCCAAGAACACAAACCCAGAAUAAUUAUAGAGAUUCAAUCAGCAAUUGUUCACCCAGAAACCCACCAUUGGGAAAAACUAGGGGUUAUCAAUCGACCAGGUAAUCCACUAAGUAGAAAAGAUUCUUACAAAGGAACACAAGCAAGCUCAAAAAAAACCUAGAUCUAUUUAGGAAGAUGUCCUAUACCUCCUUUGUGCAAUCUUCUUCUCCAACUUAGCAAAGCUUGAAGCUCAGUUCUUCAUGGUGAUGGCAGCUCCUUCUCCAGCUCAUUCAUCCCAUGGCACCAUCUUGCAAGCUCUAACUCAGAUAGAAACCAAAAUUUGGAUUCAAAGGAGAAUGACAAAUUUCUUCAAGAAACCAUACUCUUGAAGAAAUCAAUCUUGAAUCUGACGUAGAUAUAUAUGAGAGAGUGUUUGAUCUAGCAUGAUGAGGUUUUCGUAUUUCAAAUGCAGUUUUCAAAAAGAAACAUUUUGGAAAACUCAAAGAUGAAAAUAUGAAGGUUACACUUGAGGAAGAAGAAAAAGUUUAUAGAGAAACUUUCCAAAACUUGCCUCCAAAAGUGACGACUGCCAAAUGAGGAAUCCUUUGGCCUUUACACCCAAAAAUUCCUUAGGUUAGAAUCGACACAUGGCAGCAAAGAGAGAAAGGAGAAUAUGAUAAAAUAGUUGGUUAUCCAGCUGGAAAUUCUACAAAGCAAGGAUGACUAGUCAUACGAGAAACAGAUGACUAGUCAUCAUUUUAUGAAAUCAACUUAAUGCAAUGUGAUGCAAUGCAUAAUUUACCUUUGUCAAUUUGCUUGAACUUCCGUAGGAUAGUUGUUAGUUAAGAACACCUAGAGAAGCUAUUCUUAAUCUAAACUUGAGCUUGAUAAAAACAAUAAAAAUGCAAUUAUAAAAUUGUCAAGAGAAGCCAAAAGAAAAACUCAAAAUGCAUACAUUAACACCUUUUGGUCACUUUUAUGAUUUUUUUUAAUAUGGAAAAUUUAUUGAUUAUUGGAAUUUUCUGGUGCUGACUCCAAAUGCCUUUGAAGUCAAUAGUUUAAUGGACAAUUCAAUAGUUUACCUUUGAAGUCAAAGGCAUUGACCAUGGGAUAUUUGCCAAAUAUGCAGUUUCUUUUGGUUUUGAUUAACUUUCUGCCAAUUAUCCAUAUCUCUAAAGUUUGUAACUUUACACCAAAAUAAUUAAUUAUAUUCAUAUUUGGAGUUGUGGUUUGUAUGAGAAUGACUUUUGAUGAAAUUUUCGAAAAUAAAUAUAUGAAUAUGUUUGAAAGCUUACGCAACACCAAUUGGAACAGUCCACUAGUGAAAAGCAAUGUACGCAAAGCAUACAGACGAUGUCGUCUAUGACCCCAUGAAUCACAGUACAAACAAAGACACGACAGUAAACUGCCAUCUAAGAUCCAUCUAGACAACAGAUAAUAACUGAAUUCACCUUCUAGAUUUUAACUAGACAAAGAAAAUAGUAUGUUUCGGUCCAUUUAAACUCACAUGGAGGAUCGUUUUGUACUCUAGAAUCGUGAUCUGAUAAACGAUUAACAGAUGACGGCGAUAAACUGUCAUAUGACGCCUUGUAACUAACGGCAUACAUUGUUGUCUAUGACUUUUUUUGUUCUAGUAAGUGUUGAACUAGAGGAACUGUAGCUUUUUAAUUAAUUUGGGAUAUCAAACGAUACAAGUACAUAUAAUGUGCCUUAGCUUUUAGCAAAUACAUAAGCACUGCACGUGGUUUUAUUAAUAACAUUCCGACAUUAAAGAUUUCUUUUUUUCUUUUUUUUUCUUUUUGAAAUGACAUUAAAGAAACAAUAGAUUUAAGGUUGAAUGCUGAAUUAUGAAUUGCAUCCCUUGCAAGCUGAUCUUUCUUUCAACAUCUUAAGGCCAGCAUACCUGCCCAAAAAUUCAAGGGAAAAACAACGGCAACAUAUCAGAGUUUCAUUCAAAUAGAUGGUUAGAUAAUUUCUUGCGGUUGUAUUUAAGUGUACAGAGCAUACCUGCCUAAGAUCAUGAGGGUGGCUUGAGGAUUGGUCCCUGGUGACAAAUUAAAUGUAGAGCCAUCAACAACACGUAAUGCAUUGAUUCCCAUGACUCGCAAAUCUCCAUCCACCACCUUUCCCAUUAGGCAUCCCCCAUGAUAGUGCCAAAAUGUGGCUGUGGUUUCUCGACAAAAUCUUUCAAAGGAUGCGUUAUCUGUUUGGUUCAUUGGUACAGGUAGUCCAAAAGAGUUGAAACCUUCUACAGCCGGCAAAUCUUGAGUCUUAAAUGGUUUCAAUGAGUUUUUUCUUAAUAAAUGGCCAAUCUUCCUUGUGCCACUAACACAGCGAGCAAGGUCCAGCGGAUGUGCAAUGCAUAGUAGUUGAAGCGGACAUUAGACCAACUUUGACAUCAUGAUUGCAAUGUAAGAGAACCAUAGGACGAGGGUCCUGGAAAUUUGCCUACAAUAUGUCCGAAAGUUGAAUCUAUUUUUAUGCGAACAGAUGGAUGAGGAAAAAGACUAAAGGGCGUGGAAGAAAAUGGCGGGCCGGCGAGAGUCUCUACGUAGAAAUCCUUUGUGAUACUAACAGUCUGUCCACCAGAGGGAACCAGUGGAGAUGGGGGCAAAAUUGUAAUGUAAUAGCGAGGAUUAUCACGCAUAGACUGCCCAAUGUUAGGCUCAUGGUGAACAACUGGGAUUUUGAUAGAUGAAAGGUAGGACUUUGGGCCAACACCACUAAGUAGCAGAGGUUGAGGGCUUCCAAUUGUCCCGGCACUCAAUAUAACUUCUCCCUUUCCACGCACAAAUGCCUUAAGGAGAUAUUGAUUUACCAUGAUCAGAUGGAGUGGCGAAUGAGUGAACCUCAGUCUGAGGAUAGAAGACAGACAGGUAGAAAAGAUAAUAAUAAUAUAACACUAUUUCUUGACUUUUCCAUGUUUUUGUAGCCAGACAGACCUUUUUUCUCCUAAAAAACAAAAAUAAAAAACAGUUUUGUGAUACAACAAAUUAAUACAAUGCAGCGGUGUGACAAUCCGAUUUUAAUCGGUGCUGUUUUGUCAAAUUGGAUUAGAUAUAUAAUUUUCAAAACAAGCAUGAUUGGAUUGGAUGGCGGAUUUUCUUGUGAGAAUUCCAAUCGAAUCCAUACAAAUUCAAUCAAAUCUAGUUAGUUUCAUCUUUUCUUUUUUUUUUUUUUCUCUCUCUUGCUGGUAUUUGGAACUCAAAAAGUUAAGAAACAUUUUCAGUGAUAUGAAAUGUUGAAUAUAUUAUAGAAUCAAUUCUCUUUGCAUUUAAAUUGUCUUAUACAUUUACGUUUAGUCAUGCCCUAGAGUAGAAAUUCCGAACCCAGUGCGUGGAAAUAAAAAAGUAAAAUAAAGAAAAACACUUAAAUAGCUUUUCUCUCUUAUGAAAAUAACUCUAAAAUCUUACAAGUGUGUCUUAAAUAAAUAAAGUUCUAUCCCUCUCAUCUAAUUCAACCUUAGCUAGUUUAGUUGUUGUGUUGCCCACUAAUACAUCUAAAAAUAAUAAUUAAAAAAAAAUGAGGGAUGAGCAAACCAGAGCCCAGUCAUGAGUAGAUUGUGUAAUGUGUCAGUCCAGCAAUGUCAAUUGAUGAUAGAGAAAACUUUAUUUCAAAAUGUAAGUUAUGAUUUACCUUAGAUCAAAUUAAUUUAUAUGGCCACGAUCUUCUCAGGCACAAUGGCAUGGAAUUUGCACAAAUCUUCGAGGCCUUCUUACACAGAAGUGGAGUUUAAAACACAGAAAUGGAGUUUAAAUCACAGAAAUGGAGUUUUCUUUUGAUAUCAAGGACUCUGAGUCCUUCUUUUAUCCAUGGCUACAACUUAGGCACAUUCGAAGAUGUGGCCGGUGCCUAAAUUUUAGUUAUAGUUGGUAUUUAGAUGACAAGUACUUAGUUCUAUUAGAGAUGACAGGUAUUAUAGUUCCAUAUCAGCCAGAAAUAUAGUGGUCCAUAUAUAUGCACCGGACUAAAGAAACGAAACAGCAAAAAGAAAAAGAAAAAUACCGGCGCAUGGAACACAACUCGCAUUGACAGCGCAAAUGAAAUGUGCAAGUUGAAAGGAAACUGCUAUUUAAAGCAGUUGAUGAGCAGUUGACGGUGUCGUGUGGCCACCUCCUUAUUAAAUCAAAGCUGGCAACUUGUGUGUUGUGCUGUAAUUUUCACUUUUAUGCUCGAGUCAGUUGUGGCGAUUUGAUAAGAUUUGAUAAGGAGUUACAUGGGAUUAAAUAGGAGUUAUUUUGCACUCACAUGAGUUAUUUUGCAUCAUUAGCCCAUACUGCUCCCGAAAGAAUACCUAUGGUUGAAAAGAUAAGGGAGAUUCACUAUUAUACCCAAUAUGGGGGCCAAAAUUAUAAAAAUACCCUAUAUAAAAUGGACUUUAGAAACACACCCAAAGUCCAUUUACAACAUAACAAAAAAGCUUUUAACUUCUUAUAAAUUACAAAACUGCCAUCAAUUUCUUAAAACAAGCCCAACCCCAAAAUCUCAUAAAAAUACCCAAAGCACUCAAUAGGGCAUCAAAGUAAUUUAAUAAUUAAUAUUAAAUUCAAUAAGGCCAGCUAUCAUUUUUUGGGUUUUUUUUGGGUUUGUUUAUAGGAAUUCAAUUGUGUAGGGUUUAUUUAUAAUAUUAGUGCUAGAAAUGGGUAUAUCACUAAAUAUCUCAAAAGAUAAACCCUACACUAAUAAUACGAAAACAUCACCGAUCCAAUUGUUGAAUCAAUUGAUAUCUAGAGGAUUUUGAGGUUGAUCGUAGUUUACAAGAGAUGCUUACUUAUAAAUUUGAUCAUAUUAGAGCUCGCCAAGUACUUGCCCACCACCCACAAGCAACCCUCCACACCCAGACCCAGACCCAUUACCCCCGGCAUAGUUUUCUUCUCCCCCAUCCACCACAACAUACUUCUCCCACCUUCUUAUUUUUUUACCCCUUCAUGCAUGUAGGAUUGUCCCAAAUGACAUCAAGAAUACACUACUUAGGGGUUGUUUGAUAACUAUUUCAUUUUGUAGUUUUCAGUUUUCAGUUUCACUUUUUUUUCUUUUUCUUUUUUAUAACUGAAAACUAAAGACAUGCUUGCUAACAGAUUUCGUUUUCUAUUUUCAAAAUCACCCAUAUAUUUUAAAACAACUUGAUAUUGCCUCACUUCCACCCCGAACAAUUUUUUAAAUUUCCUGACUCUUUGUUCUUAAGAAUGUUGGUUCUAAGAAUGAGUGAUUUCCCUUCUUCAACCCUUUUGGCCCAACCUGAAAGCACACAGCUAAUGCGGUACACUUAUUGAACAGGGUUCUAUGGUCGGUCUACGACCCCUAGAUGUCGAAGGAGUCUUUGGGGUGAUCUCGUAGUUCCUACAAAGGGGGGAUGAUGGGGUUGGUCCAUGGAUUUUUCUUCCUUUCAACGCAUUUCGCUCAAAGGGUUGAAGGAAGAUAGUGAAUCAAGCUAUUCACAAGGACCAACUUGAUCCUAUCCUAGAUGAGAAAACCUUAGGAGGUAAGAUGGGCAGUUGGUCAGAUCUAGGAGGUGCUUCUCCCUAAAACCACUUAAAAUUACUAAAAUUUAUUAUAGGGAGAAGUGAUUCUCUAUAAAAGUUAUUUUGGCCUAUCCGAAAUCACUCCCAAAUGAGCCAUAGUCUGUCUUAAAAAUUAAUUCAUGGUAUGGGCCCCAUUUUCUUUAAAAAUAUUAAAAAUUAAUAUGGUAUUUUACAUUUCGGGUGGAAUUAACAAUUUUACAAGGUUUCAAAUUGCCACCUAGACUAUCAAAUCCAAAUUAACAUUUUGCAUUUUACUUCUACCUUGGAGAUGUACUUAUAGCUAGGAAAUGAACGGCUAAGAUGCACUUGCCCAUAUUAUCCAACAGCCACCAAAAAAAAUUAAAAAAUUAAAAAGAGUUCCAGUCAUACAAAAUGUUCAUAAAGAAAAAUGUGUUCACAAAAAAUGAAACAUAAAAAAUUCCAAUUCUAUGAGGGGAAAUUUUAUGUGGUUGGAAUUUGUAUUUUUUUUGUUCUCGAAAUGUUUAUAAAACAAGAUAAAAUUUAAAAAAUUUAACUCAAGAAAGUUAGCACAAAAUUAAAUUAUUAUAGUCUCUAAAUGGGUCUCUAAAAGUGGUGGAAUCAGAAGCAUGGUAUUAUUGUGGUUGUAUAUCUUUGGCCUAGGCUCGGAGUUGGUGAACGCUUUGGAUUGAACUCUUGCAGUUCAUUACUCUCCAUCGGGUUUGAUUUUAUGGCCUGGUCUUGUGAAAUGAGAAAAUUAUUAUUAGCUAACGAUAUUCUAUUUUUAUUUAAUCUCAAUUAUAGAAAAGGGGAUUCAAAUUUGAGUGCAAAAUAGAGAGUAUAUCCGCUCUAACAAACUUGGAUAAGUUCAUAUCUGCAUUAUUAGCUCUUAGCUUUGUUGUUUUCAUGGGCACUAAUUAUGGGAAGGUAAUGAAGUUGCAUAUAUUGUUUAGCCAACUUUGCUCAUGAUCUGUGCAGCCAUGGCUUAUCCACAGAAUCUCUUGGGGGGUUACCUACGUGUAUAGGUUCAACUGAGCUACUUUCCUUCUAAUUUCUUCGUAUGUGUUCAUCUUCUCUUAUAAUAAAAAAAAAAAAAUUUCUUUUUUUCUUUUUCCAUUGAAUUACGAAAACUGCAGCUUUAUAAUUUUGGGGGGAGUUAAAAUAUUAUAUGAAAAAAAUACUAAAUUGGUCCGAGCCGCCUGAGGUCGAUUUGGUCAACGGAUCAGGCCCUACACAAUCGAUUUGGUCAACGGUCGACUUGUAUGUGUAUUCCAGUAAUUAAUUCGAUAACUCAAAUGAUACAAGUAAAUAUAACUCUAUAUAAUGGUGAAAUUAUUCAGUAUAAAACACUACACAAUCGGUUUUAUUAAUCUUCCACCCACUGCCGACUAAUUGAAAUGCCUUGCAAGCUUAUCUUUCUUUCAGCAUCUUAACGCCAAUAUACCUGCCCAAAGCACAAAAUUGAAGGGAAAAAGAAUAGCAGCUUAUCAGAUUUCAUCACGAAAAACCCAUAUGACUAAUUAAUUUCAUCACGAUAUAUUCAGACUCAGUAUGUUAAUAUUAUAUAGUUAAAUAUUGGUCUCUUUAUUAUAUAUCAUACCUGCCCAACAUCAUGAGGGUGGCUUGAGGAUUGGUCCCUGGUGAGAAUUUGAAUGUGGAUCCAUCAACAACACGUAAGGAAUUGAUCCCCUUGACUCGUAAAUCCCCAUCAACCACCUUUCCCACAAGGCAUCCCCCAUGGUAGUGCCAAAAUGUGGCUACUGUCUCUCGACAAAAUGUUUCCACGGAUGCGGUAUCUGUAAGGUUCAUUGGUAAUGGCGGUCCGAAAAAGUUGAAACCAUCUAUACCAGGCAAAUCUUGAGCCUUAAAUGGUUUCAACGAAUUUGUGCUUAAUAAAUCACCAAUCUUCCUUGUGGCACUAACACAACGAGCAAGAUCCAGCGGAUUUGCAAAGUAGUUGAAGCGGACAUUUGGACCGACUUUGACAUCAUAGGACGACUGCAGCCUAAGCGAACCAUAGGACAAGGGUCCUGGAAUUUUGUACACAAUUUGUCCGAAAGUUGAAUUUAUCUUUGUGGAGAAAGAUGGAUCAGGAAAAACACUAAAUGGUGGAGUAGAAAAUGGUAACCCCGAGAAAGUCUCUAUGUAGAAAUCGCUUGUGAUACCAACAAUCUGUGCACUAGAGGCAUCCAGUUGAAAUGGAGGCAAAAUUGUGAUGUAAUUACGAGGAUUAUCACGCAUAAAUUGUCCAAUGUAAGGCUCGGGGUGAACGACUGGGAUUUUGAUAGAUGAAAGGUAGGACUCUGGGCCAACACCACUAAGUAGCAGGAGUUGAGUGCUUCCAAUUGCCCCGGCGCUCAAUAUAACCUCUCCCUUACCACGUAUGAAGGCCUUAUGUGACCUCCCUUUAGAAUCACUAUACACGAUUCCUCUAGCAGACAAACCUGCAUGGUUAGAAAAGAUUGUAGUUAUUAUCGAAUUAUUGAAAACCGAAGAUAUCAAUUAACUCUUAAUCUAAUGGUAUUUUUCCUGUCAAUGUUCGAAUAUCGUGC